CAUGAACGCUGGCGGCGUGCCUAAUACAUGCAAGUCGAGCGAACAGAUGAGGAGCUUGCUCCUCUGACGUUAGCGGCGGACGGGUGAGUAACACGUGGAUAACCUACCUAUAAGACUGGGAUAACUUCGGGAAACCGGAGCUAAUACCGGAUAAUAUAUUGAACCGCAUGGUUCAAUAGUGAAAGACGGUUUUGCUGUCACUUAUAGAUGGAUCCGCGCCGCAUUAGCUAGUUGGUAAGGUAACGGCUUACCAAGGCAACGAUGCGUAGCCGACCUGAGAGGGUGAUCGGCCACACUGGAACUGAGACACGGUCCAGACUCCUACGGGAGGCAGCAGUAGGGAAUCUUCCGCAAUGGGCGAAAGCCUGACGGAGCAACGCCGCGUGAGUGAUGAAGGUCUUCGGAUCGUAAAACUCUGUUAUUAGGGAAGAACAAAUGUGUAAGUAACUAUGCACGUCUUGACGGUACCUAAUCAGAAAGCCACGGCUAACUACGUG
This 497-nucleotide ribosomal RNA is filed under the name uncultured bacterium. RNAcentral describes it as "partial 16S ribosomal RNA". It matches the Rfam family "Bacterial small subunit ribosomal RNA", at positions 29 to 507 of the family's 1533-position model. The record is from RNAcentral.